RNAcentral lists this unclassified non-coding RNA (342 nucleotides) under soil metagenome. RNAcentral's name for it is "partial contains 5.8S ribosomal RNA, internal transcribed spacer 2, and large subunit ribosomal RNA". The stretch from base 1 to 120 matches the Rfam family "5.8S ribosomal RNA", at positions 35 to 154 of the family's 154-position model. The record is from RNAcentral.
GAUGAAGAACGCAGCGAAAUGCGAUAAGUAAUGUGAAUUGCAGAAUUCCGUGAAUCAUCGAAUCUUUGAACGCACAUUGCGGCCAUAGGUAUUCCUUUGGCCAUGCCUGUUCGAGCGUCAUUUACACCCUCAAGCCUAGCUUGGUGUUGGGCGCCUGUCCCGCCGUUUUCGCGCGCGGACUCGCCUCAAAGUCAUUGGCGGCGGUCGUGCCGGCCCCCUCGCGCAGCACAUUUGCGCUUCUCGGAGGCCCGGCGGAUCCGCGCUCCAGCAAGACCUUUCACGACUUGACCUCGGAUCAGGUAGGGAUACCCGCUGAACUUAAGCAUAUCAAUAAGCGGAGGA